Molecule: non-coding RNA, 45 nt
Filed under: Schistosoma haematobium
Lineage: Eukaryota; Metazoa; Platyhelminthes; Trematoda; Strigeidida; Schistosomatidae
Source: RNAcentral
AUCCAGCUGACUAAUCCUAAAUAGGAUGAAACUCGGAUCCUGGAU